AGCGAACGCUGGCGGCAGGCCUAACACAUGCAAGUCGAACGAACUCUUCGGAGUUAGUGGCGGACGGGUGAGUAACACGUGGGAACGUGCCUUUAGGUUCGGAAUAACUCAGGGAAACUUGUGCUAAUACCGAAUGUGCCCUUCGGGGGAAAGAUUUAUCGCCUUUAGAGCGGCCCGCGUCUGAUUAGCUUGUUGGUGAGGUAAAGGCUCACCAAGGCGACGAUCAGUAGCUGGUCUGAGAGGAUGAUCAGCCACAUUGGGACUGAGACACGGCCCAAACUCCUACGGGAAGCAGCAGUGGGGAAUCUUGCGCAAUGGGCGAAAGCCUGACGCAGCCAUGCCGCGUGAAUGAUGAAGGUCUUAGGAUUGUAAAAUUCUUUCACCGGGGACGAUAAUGACGGUACCCGGAGAAGAAGCCCCGGCUAACUUCGUG
RNAcentral lists this ribosomal RNA (433 nucleotides) under uncultured bacterium. RNAcentral describes it as "partial 16S ribosomal RNA". It matches the Rfam family "Bacterial small subunit ribosomal RNA", at positions 29 to 507 of the family's 1533-position model. The record is from RNAcentral.